AACAUGAUGAUGAUAGGUAAUGUUUUACUUAUUGCCUUAAAAAUAUAUUUUUUAUUGCUCCCCCGCUUUUUGGCUUUUCUUCAUUGUCUUGAACUGUUUGCAACCAUUUUUUAUAAUUUCACAGACCCCCUGAUAAUGGCUACGCGAACCUCCAUGGCUCCACAGACCAUAGUUUAAGAACCUAUGUUCUAUAUGAUUGCAACUCUGGGACUGAGUUCCCUGAAUGUCUCAGAUCAGCAAUCAUAUAGAUAUCAACCAUGUUUGUCCCAUAUCCAGAGACAAAUUUAGGAAUCAUUAAAAGUACAGAAAAGAAUAUAGAAAUAGUUUUCAAGAGACUUCGUACUGUUUAAUAUCCUAAGAAAUGACAAGGAAGAAUACACGUGACCAACAGAUACAUGUCUGUUGGUCAUGUAUGCUGAUAUGUAGUGCCUAUGAAGCUAUGAUGAUAAAGAUAACAGUGAGAAGAAUAUAUAGGAAUGACAGAAAUCUUAGUGAUAGAUUACAAGAACAUAAACUUGAUUUAGAAAUAGGCAGAUUAUCUACUGUUCUUAUUAGAAGAUUCUAAGAACACAAUUUGUAGUAGAAUGGAAUGGGGUCACAAGUGAUAAAGUUCCACAAUGUAAAAGAAAAAAAAAUAAUCUAUUGAAAUUAUAUAAAGAUUAACCCAUAAAAAUGUGAUUAAUGAACAGGCAAGCAAACUCCUAUCUAAUGUUCGGAUUUAUGCAUCCAUAACUCACAUUGAUCCUAAACCACAUCUGUUCACUUAUAUCAAACUAAUGUUAAUUUUCUCUGAUAUGCAUACUUAGUUGUUUAUUUUUAUAAAUAUCUGUUGUGUUUUUAAAAAAAAACUUUUUCUUCAAAUAUGGCCUGGUGAUAUACUUUAUUUCUGGUAUGUGACUAUUUGAAUUUUAAAAUGAAAUAUUCUGUAUUCUUUUGGUUAUUAUUUAUGUUCUGUUGUGGGCUGAAGAUGGUUG
This 974-nucleotide long non-coding RNA is filed under the name Androctonus crassicauda. The record is from RNAcentral. Lineage: Eukaryota; Metazoa; Arthropoda; Arachnida; Scorpiones; Buthidae.